UACGGGGGGGGCAAGCGUUGUUCGGAAUUACUGGGCGUAAAGGGCUCGUAGGCGGCCAACUAAGUCAGACGUGAAAUCCCCAGGCUCAACCUGGGAACUGCGUCUGAUACUGGAGGGCUUGAGUGCGGGAGAGGGAUGUGGAAUUCCAGGUGUAGCGGUGAAAUGCGUAGAUAUCUGGAGGAACACCGGUGGCGAAGGCGGCAUCCUGGACCGACACUGACGCUGAGGCGCGAAAGCUAGGGUAGCAAACGGG
This 253-nucleotide ribosomal RNA is filed under the name uncultured bacterium. RNAcentral describes it as "partial 16S ribosomal RNA". It matches the Rfam family "Bacterial small subunit ribosomal RNA", at positions 524 to 776 of the family's 1533-position model. The record is from RNAcentral.